Molecule: ribosomal RNA, 548 nt
Filed under: uncultured Glomeromycotina
Lineage: Eukaryota; Fungi; Glomeromycota
Description: SSU rRNA
Rfam family: Eukaryotic small subunit ribosomal RNA
Source: RNAcentral
UUGGAGGGCAAGUCUGGUGCCCGCAGCCGCGGUAAUUCCAGCUCCAAUAGCGUAUAUUAAAGUUGCUGCAGUUAAAAAGCUCGUAGUUGAAUUUCGGGACCAUCAUGUCGGUCGUGCCUAGGUACGUACUGGCAUUGUUGGUUUCUCCCUUCUGACGAACCACGAUGUCAUUUAUUUGGUGUUGUGGGGAAUCAGGACUGUUACUUUGAAAAAAUUAGAGUGUUUAAAGCAGGCUCACGCUUGAAUACAUUAGCAUGGAAUAAUGAAAUAGGACGUUUGAUUCUAUUUUGUUGGUUUCUAGGAUCGACGUAAUGAUUAAUAGGGAUAGUUGGGGGCAUUAGUAUUCAAUUGUCAGAGGUGAAAUUCUUGGAUUUAUUGAAGACUAACUACUGCGAAAGCAUUUGCCAAGGAUGUUUUCAUUAAUCAAGAACGAAAGUUAGGGGAUCGAAGACGAUCAGAUACCGUCGUAGUCUUAACCAUAAACUAUGCCGACUAGGGAUCGGAUGAUGUUAAUUUUUUAAUGACUCAUUCGGCGCCUUACGGGAAAC